This 252-nucleotide ribosomal RNA is filed under the name uncultured Lactobacillus sp. RNAcentral describes it as "partial 16S ribosomal RNA". It matches the Rfam family "Bacterial small subunit ribosomal RNA", at positions 111 to 355 of the family's 1533-position model. Lineage: Bacteria; Bacillati; Bacillota; Bacilli; Lactobacillales; Lactobacillaceae. The record is from RNAcentral.
UAACACGUGGGGAACCUGCCCCAUAGUCUGGGAUACCACUUGGAAACAGGUGCUAAUACCGGAUAAGAAAGCGGAUCGCAUGAUCAGCUUUUAAAAGGCGGCGUAAGCUGUCGCUAUGGGAUGGCCCCGCGGUGCAUUAGCUAGUUGGUAAGGUAAAGGCUUACCAGGGCGAUGAUGCAUAGCCGAGUUGAGAGACUGAUCGGCCACAUUGGGACUGAGACACGGCCCAAACUCCUACGGGAGGCAGCAGUU